AUACGAAGGGGGCUAGCGUUGUUCGGAAUAACUGGGCGUAAAGCGCACGUAGGCGGAAUGUUAAGUUAGAGGUGAAAUCCCAGGGCUCAACCCUGGAACUGCCUUUAAUACUGGCAAUCUAGAGAUCGAGAGAGGUGAGUGGAAUUCCGAGUGUAGAGGUGAAAUUCGUAGAUAUUCGGAGGAACACCAGUGGCGAAGGCGGCUCACUGGCUCGAUACUGACGCUGAGGUGCGAAAGCGCGGGGAGCAAACAGGAUUAGAUACCCUAGUAGUCC
Molecule: ribosomal RNA, 274 nt
Filed under: uncultured bacterium
Lineage: Bacteria
Description: partial 16S ribosomal RNA
Rfam family: Bacterial small subunit ribosomal RNA
Source: RNAcentral